GCACAGACCCAGAACAGAAUGAAGUUGAUGGCAGACAACUAUGAUGAGGACCAUCACCAUUACCACCACCACCACCAUCACCACCACCAUCGAUCUCCUGGGAGGUCGCAACAUUCCAAUCACAGGCCCUCUCCGGACCAGGAUGACGAGGAGGGCAUAUGGGCAUAGCCGGGCCUGUAAACCAAAGUUCCAGUUUUGUUUUGAGGGCUAUCAGAAGGGCUGAAUAAAGGGAACAUGCAGCUCUGCAGCAAUAUUCUGAUAAUCUAUUGCAGUGCGGCUCACAUCACUGUCCACCACCACCUGGAGCGGCUCAUCAGAACUGAAGGGGAGUUUUCACUUACAUUAUUGAGCGUGAUUCUGUUCUACUUGAUAUUUCCUUCAUCACCUCAUGUCAUUUCUCAUGGAUUUGGAUAUGAUGGAAAGGAAGAAUGCAGAGGAGGAGAAAAGUGACAGAUCCUCCAUUUUUGUCAGGAUGCAGGCAUUUUGAAUGUAAUCAUCUUUGCUGAAUGUCAUUUUUUGAUAACAUUUUGUUUAUGUUACUUAAACAUCAUUGGAUAAAUUUGAACUCCAUGGGAUUUUA
This 580-nucleotide small RNA is filed under the name Pongo abelii (Sumatran orangutan). RNAcentral describes it as "processed transcript". The record is from RNAcentral. Lineage: Eukaryota; Metazoa; Chordata; Mammalia; Primates; Hominidae.